Molecule: ribosomal RNA, 292 nt
Filed under: uncultured bacterium
Lineage: Bacteria
Description: partial 16S ribosomal RNA
Rfam family: Bacterial small subunit ribosomal RNA
Source: RNAcentral
GUGCCAGCAGCCGCGGUAAUACGAAGGGGGCUAGCGUUGCUCGGAAUCACUGGGCGUAAAGGGUGCGUAGGCGGGUCUUUAAGUCAGAGGUGAAAGCCUGGAGCUCAACUCCAGAACUGCCUUCGAUACUGUACGGCUCGAGACCGGAAGAGGUCAGUGGAACUGCGAGUGUAGAGGUGAAAUUCGUAGAUAUUCGCAAGAACACCAGUGGCGAAGGCGGCUCACUGGCCCGAUACUGACGCUGAGGCACGAAAGCGUGGGGAGCAAACAGGAUUAGAUACCCCGGUAGUCC